RNAcentral lists this ribosomal RNA (255 nucleotides) under Helicobacter pylori PZ5086. RNAcentral describes it as "partial 23S ribosomal RNA". It matches the Rfam family "Bacterial large subunit ribosomal RNA", at positions 2661 to 2925 of the family's 2925-position model. Lineage: Bacteria; Pseudomonadati; Campylobacterota; Epsilonproteobacteria; Campylobacterales; Helicobacteraceae. The record is from RNAcentral.
GUUGAGGAGAGCUGUCCCUAGUACGAGAGGACCGGGAUGGACGUGUCACUGGUGCACCAGUUGUUCUGCCAAGAGCAUCGCUGGGUAGCUACACACGGAUGUGAUAACUGCUGAAAGCAUCUAAGCAGGAAGCCAACUCCAAGAUAAACUUUCCCUGAAGCUCGCACAAAGACUAUGUGCUUGAUAGGGUAGAUGUGUAAGCGCAGUAAUGCGUUUAGCUGACUACUACUAAUAGAGCGUUUGGCUUGUUUUUUG